RNAcentral lists this ribosomal RNA (1368 nucleotides) under uncultured bacterium. RNAcentral's name for it is "partial 16S ribosomal RNA". It matches the Rfam family "Bacterial small subunit ribosomal RNA", at positions 56 to 1381 of the family's 1533-position model. The record is from RNAcentral.
UGCAAGCCCUUAAAAGGGACGAGAAGUUUGGUUCUCUGAUGUUAACGGCGGACGGGAGAGUAACGCGUGGAUAACCUACCCAUUCCACUGGGAGAACUUCGGGAAACCGGGGCUAAUACCGGAUAAUAUUUUGAACCCCAUGGGUCAAAGGUGAAAGGCGGUCUUGCCGUCCCUUAUAUAUGGAUGCGCGCUGCAUUAUGUAGUUCGUGAGGUAACGGCUUACCGAUGGCAAGAUGCAUAUCCGACCUGAUAGGGUGAUCGAGUCACUCUGGGACUGAGAGACGGUACAGACUCCUACCGUGGGCAACCUUGGGGAAUCUUCCGCAGAGGGGCGAAAGCCCUGACUGAUAAACCUCCCCUGGGUGAUUAAGGUCUGCGGAGCGUAAUACUUUUGUUUUAAGGGAAGAACAUAACUUGGAGGGGACCUGUCCACGUCAUCGACCGGACUUAAUACCAAAGGGCCCGCCCCACUAACUGGGAUCCAGCCGCGGUUAUUACUCAGGAUGGCAAGUGGUGUCAACGGAAUUAACUGGGGCGGGAAGCGCCGCUUAAGGCGGUUUUUUAGUCUGAUGUGAAAGCCCACGGCUCCUUUGUGGAGGGUCAUUGGAAACUGGAAAACUUGAGUGCAGAAGAGGAAAGUGGAAUUCCAUGUGUAGCGGUGAAAUGCGUAGAGAUAUGGAGGAACACCAGUGGCGAAGGCGACUUUCUGGUCUGUAACUGACGCUGAUGUGCGAAAGCGUGGGGAUCAAACAGGAUUAGAUACCCUGGUAGUCCACGCCGUAAACGAUGAGUGCUAAGUGUUAGGGGGUUUCCGCCCCUUAGUGCUGCAGCUAACGCAUUAAGCACUCCGCCUGGGGAGUACGACCGCAAGGUUGAAACUCAAAGGAAUUGACGGGGACCCGCACAAGCGGUGGAGCAUGUGGUUUAAUUCGAAGCAACGCGAAGAACCUUACCAAAUCUUGACAUCCUUUGACAACUCUAGAGAUAGAGCUUUCCCCUUCGGGGGACAAAGUGACAGGUGGUGCAUGGUUGUCGUCAGCUCGUGUCGUGAGAUGUUGGGUUAAGUCCCGCAACGAGCGCAACCCUUAAGCUUAGUUGCCAUCAUUAAGUUGGGCACUCUAAGUUGACUGCCGGUGACAAACCGGAAGGAAGNGGGGGAUGAACGUCAAUCAUCAUGCCCCUUAUGAUUUGGGCUACACACGUGCUACAAUGGACAAUACAAAAGGCAGCCAAACCCGCGAGGUCAAAGCAAUCCCAUAAAGUUUGGUCUCAGUUCCGAAUGGAAUUCUGGCACCUCGACUACCUGAAACUGGAAACCCCUAGUAAUCCGAAAAUCACCCUGGUUCGGUGAAAACCGUUCCCGGGGUU